This is a long non-coding RNA of Ornithorhynchus anatinus (platypus), 671 nucleotides long. RefSeq lists it as uncharacterized. The transcript has 4 exons. Lineage: Eukaryota; Metazoa; Chordata; Mammalia; Monotremata; Ornithorhynchidae. The record is from RefSeq and is a predicted model, not a curated record.
UCUGCAAGACUCAAGCACCACUAAUUUAAAAGGCGCAUAGUAUGAAGUCAACCUUUGGCAGAUUAGUGCGCAAAUCUCUUCAACUGUGGGUGUGGCUCCAAAAUGAAGCUCUGGAGUUUAUAUCUUGAUCAGCCUCCUGACACAGAAAUUGCAUUUUCUUGGCCGGCCUGCUGCCCAUCCAGUGGAAAGAGCUCCGCUCUUGUAAUCCAGGGACCGGGAUUUCUAGUCUCACACCUGCCAGCUGGGCCAUGCCACCAUGGGCGUUGGGGUGGAAUCCUGAAAAGUAAAAUGGAAUCCUGAGAAUUUCGACAGUCCUACCUCGACUGGGACAUCAACGCUCUGCUCACAGUAUGCGCUCAAUAAAUGCGAUUGAUUGAUUGAUCACUUUAAGUCAGUGAAGAUGGGAAAUAUCGAAUGUCUAAUGUUUACGCACCUGCCAUUCCCCAAACUCUGAAGUUUCCGCCAGCGCUGAACUGUGACUCCCUCCAAAGUGGUUGAACUGAAAUCACGGAGAUAAAGUUGUUAGCAGGCAUUAUCAGAGAUGAGCUCACUCUCUGUCAAAUCUUUAUUAAGCACCCUCAAGGUGAAUAGCACUGUACUCAGCACUUAGGUGGAAAGAACCUUGAAGAACAGGCACAGCCAGUCCCUAGGGCUUAUAAUUUAAUAAAAGA